RNAcentral lists this ribosomal RNA (253 nucleotides) under uncultured bacterium. RNAcentral describes it as "partial 16S ribosomal RNA". It matches the Rfam family "Bacterial small subunit ribosomal RNA", at positions 524 to 776 of the family's 1533-position model. The record is from RNAcentral.
UACGAAGGGGGCUAGCGUUGCUCGGAAUGACUGGGCGUAAAGGGCGCGUAGGCGGCUCAUACAGUCAGGCGUGAAAUUCCUGGGCUCAACCUGGGGACUGCGCUUGAGACGUGUGGGCUUGAGUGGGGAAGAGGGUCGUGGAAUUCCCAGUGUAGAGGUGAAAUUCGUAGAUAUCGGGAGGAACACCAGUGGCGAAGGCGGUUACCUGGAGCUUUGCUGACGCUGAGGCGCGAAAGCGUGGGGAGCGAUCCGG